Long non-coding RNA from Orussus abietinus, 497 nucleotides. RefSeq lists it as uncharacterized. NCBI's taxonomy places the organism in Eukaryota, Metazoa, Arthropoda, Insecta, Hymenoptera, Orussidae. The transcript is spliced from 2 exons. The record is from RefSeq and is a predicted model, not a curated record.
GUGACAUUCUCAAAGAGGUCUUGCUUGCCAUUAUCAUCACGGUUCAACCAGCUGAACAUCUUGUUGUUUGAUAGUUAAUCUACCUGAAAUAUGAAAACCCAUGUAUUAAUUAAAAAUGAUAACAGCCAAAAGUUAGAGCAUUUUUAGUUAUAUGGAAACUAAACACCUGUAAUGGUGCUUCAAUACUUCUUUCUACGAGUUACAUUUGUAAUCCGAGAAGAACCCAAGCAUCUACGAUCCAUGCAACCAAGCAAUAGCCUCUUCCAUUCAAUGCAAAUUCAAUUUACAAAAACUCCUUUCUCCGAUGAUGACUUAAACUAUCAUCUAGCAAUUAUCUCAGUAAUUAUCCCAGUAAUUAUGGCAGAACCCUAUCAUGUGAUCAUCUCUUCGAAGACUCUGCUUCGAAGAGCAUUAUACAGCAAAAGACUAUUUAGACCAAUAUGCUCUAGAAAGCCUCAUGAGUACUUAUAGAAAUAAAAAAGAAGAAAUCACUGAUA